UGGGGAAUUUUGGACAAUGGGCGAAAGCCUGAUCCAGCAAUGCCGCGUGUGUGAAGAAGGCCUUCGGGUUGUAAAGCACUUUUGUCCGGAAAGAAAUGGCUCUGGUUAAUACCUGGGGUCGAUGACGGUACCGGAAGAAUAAGGACCGGCUAACUACGUGCCAGCAGCCGCGGUAAUACGUAGGGUCCAAGCGUUAAUCGGAAUUACUGGGCGUAAAGCGUGCGCAGGCGGUUGUGCAAGACCGAUGUGAAAUCCCCGAGCUUAACUUGGGAAUUGCAUUGGUGACUGCACGGCUAGAGUGUGUCAGAGGGGGGUUAGAAUUCCACGUGUAGCAGUGAAAUGCGUAGAGAUGUGGAGGAAUACCGAUGGCGAAGGCAGCCCCCUGGGAUAACACUGACGCUCAUGCACGAAAGCGUGGGGAGCAAACAGGAUUAGAUACCCUGGUAGUCCACGCCCCUAAAACGAUGUCAACUAGUUGUUGGGGAUUCAUUUCCUUAGUAACGUAGCUAACGCGUGAAGUUGACCGCCUGGGGAGUACGGUCGCAAGAUUAAAAGCUC
RNAcentral lists this ribosomal RNA (558 nucleotides) under uncultured bacterium. RNAcentral describes it as "partial 16S ribosomal RNA". It matches the Rfam family "Bacterial small subunit ribosomal RNA", at positions 355 to 902 of the family's 1533-position model. The record is from RNAcentral.